AAGCUCGUAGUUGAAUUUCGGGGUUCUACCGUUGGUCGGGCUAACAAGUCUGUACUAGCGUGUAGAAUCUCUACCUUCUGGGGAACCAUCAUGUUAUUAAUUUAGCGUGGUGGGAAACCAGGACCUUUACCUUGAAAAAAUUAGAGUGUUCAAAGCAGGCUUACGUCUGAAUACAUUAGCAUGGAAUAAUAAAAUAGGACGGUGGUCCUGUUUUGUUGGUCUCUGAAUCACCGUAAUGAUAAUAGGGAUAUUGGG
Molecule: ribosomal RNA, 255 nt
Filed under: uncultured Scutellospora
Lineage: Eukaryota; Fungi; Glomeromycota; Glomeromycetes; Diversisporales; Gigasporaceae
Description: partial 18S ribosomal RNA
Rfam family: Eukaryotic small subunit ribosomal RNA
Source: RNAcentral